This 220-nucleotide long non-coding RNA is filed under the name Elaeis guineensis (African oil palm). RNAcentral's name for it is "long non-coding RNA (EGUI_LNC029754)". The record is from RNAcentral. Lineage: Eukaryota; Viridiplantae; Streptophyta; Magnoliopsida; Arecales; Arecaceae.
UCAUCCAGCCCCUCUGGCUUAUCUUCCAAAAUUGAAUCCAAUCCUAUUUGUACUAAUAGAUCCUUCACUCUUACCUUCCACAUGGUGAAACUCUCCUUCCUAUCAAACUUCUCAAAUCCCACCUUCAACAUGCUACUCUUUAUGAUCAAAUCCAAUCAAAAAUAGCACACAAGAGAGAUCUGAGAAUUACCUGACUGGGUGAUUGUGGAUAGCAGCCCCC